Molecule: ribosomal RNA, 434 nt
Filed under: uncultured bacterium
Lineage: Bacteria
Description: partial 16S ribosomal RNA
Rfam family: Bacterial small subunit ribosomal RNA
Source: RNAcentral
AGCGAACGCUGGCGGCAGGCCUAACACAUGCAAGUCGAACGAACCUUUCGGGGUUAGUGGCGGACGGGUGAGUAACACGUGGGAACGUGCCUUUAGGUUCGGAAUAACUCAGGGAAACUUGUGCUAAUACCGAAUGUGCCCUUCGGGGGAAAGAUUUAUCGCCUUUAGAGCGGCCCGCGUCUGAUUAGCUAGUUGGUUGAGGUAAUGGCUCACCAAGGCGACGAUCAGUAGCUGGUCUGAGAGGAUGAUCAGCCACAUUGGGACUGAGACACGGCCCAAACUCCUACGGGAUGCAGCAGUGGGGAAUCUUGCGCAAUGGGCGAAAGCCUGACGCAGCCAUGCCGCGUGAAUGAUGAAGGUCUUAGGAUUGUAAAAUUCUUUCACCGGGGACGAUAAUGACGGUACCCGGAGAAGAAGCCCCGGCUAACUUCGUG